AAUUAAUCAUUUUCCUAUUCAAUGUCUGUGAAGUUUUGACAAUAAUCCACAGGUACUAAUUAAUCAUUUUCCUAUUCAAUGUCUGUGAAGUUUUGACAAUAAUCCACAGGUACUAAUUAAUCAUUUUCCUAUUCAAUGUCUGUGAAGUUUUGACAAUAAUCCACAGGUACUAAUUAAUCAUUUUCCUAUUCAAUGUCUGUGAAGUUUUGACAAUAAUCCACAGGUACUAAUUAAUCAUUUUCCUAUUCAAUGUCUGUGAAGUUUUGACAAUAAUCCACAGGUACUAAUUAAUCAUUUUCCUAUUCAAUGUCUGUGAAGUUUUGACCAUAAUCCA
This is a long non-coding RNA of Mytilus californianus (California mussel), 334 nucleotides long. RefSeq lists it as uncharacterized. The transcript is spliced from 5 exons. NCBI's taxonomy places the organism in Eukaryota, Metazoa, Mollusca, Bivalvia, Mytilida, Mytilidae. The record is from RefSeq and is a predicted model, not a curated record.